This 240-nucleotide ribosomal RNA is filed under the name uncultured bacterium. RNAcentral describes it as "partial 16S ribosomal RNA". It matches the Rfam family "Bacterial small subunit ribosomal RNA", at positions 15 to 245 of the family's 1533-position model. The record is from RNAcentral.
GAUCCUGGCUCAGGAUGAACGCUAGCUACAGGCUUAACACAUGCAAGUCGAGGGGCAGCAUUUCAGUUUGCUUGCGAACUGGAGAUGGCGACCGGCGCACGGGUGAGUAACACGUAUCCAACCUGCCGAUAACUCGGGGAUAGCCUCUCGAAAGAAAGAUUAAUACCCGAUGGUAUAAUUAGACCGCAUGGUCUUGUUAUUAAAGAAUUUCGGUUAUCGAUGGGGAUGCGUUCCAUUAGG